Papaver somniferum (opium poppy) is the source of this 3227-nucleotide long non-coding RNA. RefSeq lists it as uncharacterized. The record is from RefSeq and is a predicted model, not a curated record. The transcript is spliced from 13 exons. NCBI's taxonomy places the organism in Eukaryota, Viridiplantae, Streptophyta, Magnoliopsida, Ranunculales, Papaveraceae.
UAAUGUUUAAUAGUGAUUCGUGAAUCAAGGAUUUAAGUGGAAUACGAGAAGUUUUUUUUCCUCCAAAGCAGAUCGAAAACCAAAUCAUCUCCCGAACAAGAUAUUAUGAUAUCUCUAACACCUGCGGAAGAAUUAUGGACUGCAUUUUCUUUUAUUAUCUACAGUUUUUAAUUUGAGAUUGAUUAUCUAGGGUUUUUUAUUUGGGAUUUUAGAGCAGUGUAGUUAAAUUAAAUGAAUGUUAAAAUUAUUGAUCGCAGGAAUAUGGAUUAUUCUUCGCACACAUCUUUCGAUCCUGAUUUCUUUGCAGUUAGUUCGGUUGAUGGUGGAAUUAAGGUAAGUAAAAAUUCAUCAAGGUUGAACGUCACACUUGGUGAGGACGUUUAUUUGGAUGGCGAGGACUUUCGUUUAGAUGUAUAUUUAGAUGUAUGAAUGGUUUUUUCACGAUUAGGAUACUAUUAAAGUCAGGUCAGGCAUAAUUUGGAUAUAUUGCAUAUAUUUUAUUUUCUGAUUUCAGGUGUUGUAAGCAAUCUUUUUAAUCUUUCAGGUAUAAUAUACAACUCCAUAUUUUCUUAGUUUAAUCUGAUCAGUUAGUUUAUACUCAAAGCUUACUGGAUUUGUUUUUAAAUAACUGGAAGUUGUUGUAUGGUUUUCUAAAGCCAAUAGAUAUAGACACUCUCGGUAGAGCAGACCCAUUAGCUAUGAUGAACAGCAGAAUAGGAAGAUUAGCAAUUUAUCUUGCUAGGUAGCACGUUGAUUGGCAUGUUGAUUCAGGUUUGUGGAAGAAAAAUGCUGAAGAGCUUUACAAAUGAGGCUGAUAAACUCCUCAGGUUAAUUGUAGAGCUUAUGCGAUACUUGCUAAAGCAGCUUUUUUAGAAUCUUGCUUGCUUUUAUUUUUCGGUCAAAAGUCUAACUAUAGUUUCAUCAUUUAGAAUCUGAAUUACCUAUUUAUAAGAAUCUUUGUUUGUCAAAUAUGUUGAUAUGAUAUAUUUAAAAUACAUAAAAUGCAGUACCAGUUAUGCUGACAUGAUCUUUUCCUGUUUCUCUAUAUCUUUUUCAUCUUAGUGUUUUUUGUUCAAAAAUUAAGAUAAAUUGAAUAAGAUUGAGGUGAUCUACAGCCAUGUUGGUUUCUAUCCGGGAAUUUAUGUUUUUUAGGGAAUUUUCCAGUGGGAAAUAUUGAUUUGAAUUUUGAGUGUAACAUACUUUUUUUGUAAAACAUGGAUAAUCACGGGAUCUUAAUUUUGAAGGCGAACAAUAGGUAUUGUAUUUUUGUUGCUAAAAUUAUUUUGUAUCAACAUUUUUCUUUGAUAAAAUCGUUGGAUCAUUUCCUUUCUUUGUUUUAUGGUAGUUUUGAAACUUGACGGUUCAUUUGCAUUUUUAUCUGACAUUCAAAAUUGUCUUUGUUUAGAUAAUUUUACAAUAGGUAUAUAUUGCAGUUUCUGCGUAAAACUAUUUUCGAUACCCGAAGGUUUUUGCUGCAUUUGCAAGGACUCACACCGCAAAAUCUCAGGACUCACACCGCAGAACCUAAGUAAAGGUGCAGGUGGUGGUCAUGCUCGAGGUUUCACAUUUCAUAGAAAAGUGUAUUCGUACCUGACGGUGGAUAAAGAAGUAACAUAGUAGUGAUAAUACGUCUGUAACCUUAAACGGGAAAUACUUGAGGUGGUCAUGCUGAGUAGGAGUAGGCUCCCCCAUCUUAAUGAGGUGUAAGUUUUGCAUCCUAUACCUCGAGAAGAUUGGCAGGUUAUGAGUGAUCCAGCAAGAGGCUUAUGAAGGGAAUGGGGAGUAUUGUCUAUAUUGGAUCAUGAAACUUUGGUCGGGUUUCUUUGCCAGAUUGGAUCAUGAAACUUUGGUCGGGUUUAGUGUGUUGCUGGAUCGAUCAGAGGGACCUAGAUGGUCGAAAAAUCACUUUUUUAUAUUGAGCGAGGCAGCGAGCUAUGCAAUAUAUCAAGAACGCUGAAUCAGUUUGUUCCUUAAGGUCCACUGCUAGAAGUAGGAGUUAACUGACAUAAAGACAUCAAAUAGGAGGAUGAGGUUUCGGAAUAGCCAUGUGGACACUUUUAGACUACCAUGGAUUAGAUUAUCAGAAUGUGGAAAUACAUCCGCAGCAUCAGGCAUACUCUAUGAAUUGUUGGAAGGUUGGGCAUAAAAAGAAGCAUCAUUUGGGUUGAGAUUUUCAGUAUCCUCAAAACUAAGCUGAAGUUUUCGGAUGCAUUAGAAGGUCAGCUGAAGUUUUCGGAUGCAUUAGAAGGUCAGCUGAAGUUUUCGGAUGCAUUAGAAGCUACUCUGGAAACCCUGAUCUUGACGAAGAAGGAAGUAAAGGGCACCUCUAGAGCGAGCAUUAUUGUUGGUGUAUCAGUUGGACUGCUACUUUUUAUAGUGUCAACUGAGCAAAAAAAAAAUCUCUUGCACUUUCCUUGGUUUCUUACUCCGUGGGGAAAGGAAAAAGCACACCCAGGUGUACGACGCAAAGGGCAUCAAUAUAUUUGUAUCAAGGCCUGUUGAUGAUAGAGGACGUCAACAUACAUCCAUCCAUUUUCACAUAUAUAUGUGGCACUUUGGCAGUCAAUAUAUGUUUUGGGAUUCAAAAAUAAGGAUUCAAAAAUAAAAUUGUGAAAAUUUUGGUAAUUAUGUCCAUUGCUACAGACUAUAUCCACAAAAGUACUCCACGUACUCAGUUCGAUGUACUCAUGGCUCAGGUGACCAUCCAAGGAUCACAAUAAGCAAUUACUGCCUGACAAGUACACAUGAUAUCGGAUAAGCAGAUGAUUCUAUGACUUUGCUUCCCAGGUACACACAUGUUGAUGUGUUUUCUACAUUUGCUUUCUGGCAUUUCAUUAUUAUUUGCAGGCUUAUUAUCUGCAUGUUAAAUGAGCCCAUUGUGUGUAAUGUGGUGAUAUAUACCUGUGUAUAGAAGCAUUUGAGCAUGGACAUUAGAAAUUACUAUGAAAAGAGUAGAUACUAAAUGAGGAAUUGGGGAAGAAAUAGAUACCUUUAGCACAAGAUACCUUAUGAACAUGGUAUCCAUCUGACUUUGUAGAUGAAGGGAGCCCAAUUCGUUUUGUUUUCUUUUGUGGUAAUCUCUUCUCUUUUUUGCUUUUAUGUUUUCUGUUUUUUCUUUUUAGUCAAAGGCAAUGUAGAUGUUAAGAUGUUUGUAAAGAGAAGGAAAGAAAGUUUCCUGCUAAAGAAUCUAAUGUUGGUUUAUGCUUAAGUUUAGCGUAUUGUUGGUU